Molecule: ribosomal RNA, 457 nt
Filed under: uncultured bacterium
Lineage: Bacteria
Description: bacterial SSU rRNA
Rfam family: Bacterial small subunit ribosomal RNA
Source: RNAcentral
GACGAACGCUGGCGGCGUGCCUAAUACAUGCAAGUAGAACGCUGAAGGAGGAGCUUGCUCUUCUGGAUGAGUUGCGAACGGGUGAGUAACGCGUAGGUAACCCGCCUGGUAGCGGGGGAUAACUAUUGGAAACGAUAGCUAAUACCGCAUAAGAGUAGAUGUUGCAUGACAUUUGCUUAAAAGGUGCAAUUGCAUCACUACCAGAUGGACCUGCGUUGUAUUAGCUAGUUGGUGAGGUAACGGCUCACCAAGGCGACGAUACAUAGCCGACCUGAGAGGGUGAUCGGCCACACUGGGACUGAGACACGGCCCAGACUCCUACGGGAGGCAGCAGUAGGGAAUCUUCGGCAAUGGACGGAAGUCUGACCGAGCAACGCCGCGUGAGUGAAGAAGGUUUUCGGAUCGUAAAGCUCUGUUGUAAGAGAAGAACGAGUGUGAGAGNGGAAAGUUCACACNG